Molecule: long non-coding RNA, 582 nt
Filed under: Gossypium raimondii (Peruvian cotton)
Lineage: Eukaryota; Viridiplantae; Streptophyta; Magnoliopsida; Malvales; Malvaceae
Description: long non-coding RNA (GRAI_LNC009181)
Source: RNAcentral
GCAUCGACUAUGCAAUUUUUCUGGAUUACACACCUUGUCAAAACCUAUGUAGACUCACCAAACAUGAAUUCCAGUACCCUAAAUCGAGAGAUUACAUGAAUAAUUAGCUAAGAUUCAAUCAUCUCAAAUUGAUCAAUUAAAAAAAAUUCAAAAAAAACUGAUUGUCUCGACAACCCACAACCCCAAAACAACAUUAAACCCUUACAUUAAAGCGAAAACAACACCCUUACAAGCCUCAAUUUGCUGGUGGAUCACCCAUUCCAUGACCUUCACCUAGGGAACCCCACACGAUUAACAAAAAAAAGCUGAAGCAUGCAAACCAAGCAAAGCUCCAACUUAGCUAGAGGUAACAACAAAAAAAUUCAGUCAAAGAAAAAAUGAAAUUGGCGGCACUUACACAAGUCUCGAGCUACAAACAAUUCAACUAAACGCGUAUUACAGAAAUUUGAUAACCCAGGAGACCAAAAUCAAGAAACCAACGAAGUUUUAAGAAGAGCACUAAAGGAUAAAAGAAAGAAAAAAGGAGAAAAAAAACAAAGAAAAAUCAAUUUGAAAAGAAGAACAAGGAAGAAAGAAAGGCGG